This 86-nucleotide transfer RNA is filed under the name Tetragnatha moua. RNAcentral's name for it is "tRNA-Gln". The record is from RNAcentral. Lineage: Eukaryota; Metazoa; Arthropoda; Arachnida; Araneae; Tetragnathidae.
CUUGAAAAUUAGCAGACUUUAUCCUAUAUUUUUAAUGUAAUUAAGUGUACUAGCACAUAAAAAUUUGAUUUUUAAGGACUUAAAAU